AGUUCCAGACAUAUCAUUACUUUUAAAUAUGAGAUGACAAACUAAAGGUUUUAAAAAGUCCUGAAUAACUGGUAAGCAUUUGAUUUAUUAGGUAAGCUCUAAAUUUUUUAUUUAUGGUAUUUGUGCAAAUGAAAUUACGGUCGAUAUGUUAGAAAUAUGCUUAUAUGAAAACUGUUGCUAUGGUCUUGAUAUUGAAUGAAAAGGCUUGGUUACUGAUCUUUUCGACUCAACAUUUCGAGUUAAAUCUUGCGGCAACUGAUUCUCAUGUAACACUAAAAACUCUAUUUAGCACUAUUUUGAUCUGUCAAUAUUUAAUGACGCCAUAAUACGUGUGAUGUCACAAUGUUUCCUUUAAUACCUCAUGUGGAUUUCUCACUGAUAAAGAGUUUUCACUGAAAAAUACAAUGUAAAAAGCCUUUUUUUCUCAAAUAGAAUUAUGUGACUGGACAAGUUUUGAAAAUUUGCACUUCAUUGCACUCUAAUUACAUGAUAAGAAUGACUUUCCCAGUAGUUUUGAGGGGUUUCCACAGUAUUUUAUACCAGAUGUCCACUAGUAAGAAUAGUUAUUUUGGUGUGUUUUUUAUGAAAUCUACAUUUUUGCAUAAUUUCUCUGUCAAAAUGCACUUUAAGACACAAGAAAAUGUUAUGAAUGCUUUAAAUAGGGUCUGUGUAUUGUAAUUUAAGGUUAUCAUCAGAAGUUUUGUCCUUGUUUUGACUUGUAAAGGUAUAUUGGAAGAAAUAUUUAUACAUACACGUUGUAUUAAAAAUAAAUGAAUAUAGCGAUAAAAGUGUCAUUGCCAUAUAGUGCUGAAACGACUUUAUUUUUUUUCAGAAAUGAACAAAAAUACACAGAUUUAUUCAGAAUGUCAUACCGAUGAAGAUCACCUAAAAAUAUUUGGAAAAAUCAGAACUAUGGAUUUCAAUAUGGGACAAUACCGCUAAUGCGCCUUGAAAUGAGGAACAC
This 964-nucleotide long non-coding RNA is filed under the name Mytilus galloprovincialis (Mediterranean mussel). Lineage: Eukaryota; Metazoa; Mollusca; Bivalvia; Mytilida; Mytilidae. The record is from RNAcentral.